GCAUUUUUGCUUCCCGCCCCUCCCUUGGAUCAAAAGGGCACUCCAAGUACUUGAACUCUAUUAAUAGCCCCUGCAAGCACAGCUUCAGCCUGCAUGUGCCCCUGUCCGAGUGCUUCUGAAAUGACAGGGAGCUUUCAAACAGAACCGGGCCAUGCAUUUUUCCAAUGCCGACUGUGCUGGCGCUGCUCUGCCCUGUCAAAUGCAUAAUAUUGAAAAGCUCAACUGGGCACCUAUUUGCUAGAAUGUUCUUGGCUGUUCUCCACCCAUCAUGUCCCAAGAUAGAAUUUGCUCAGAGAAGCAAGACUAUUCUUAGGUGUUUCCCGUGGUGAACAUAAACCAAAAGAUCCAAAUCUCUGGAAACAGUUGCAUGAGUAUCUGAAGACUAAAGGACAACACUGAUUGUCAUCUUCAUGAAAGUCAUCCAUCUUGAGACAGGGACUCUCAUUGGCCUGGAGUUCACCAAUGACCUAGACUGACAGGUAAGUAAGCCCCUGGGAAUCUCUGGUCUCUGCCUCCCUAUUGCCACAACACCUAGCAUCUUUAUGUGGGUUCUGAGCCAUGGAACUUGUCUUCUCUUGCUUUCAAGGCAAGUACUUUACCAACUGGUCUGUGUUCCCUAUAAUCUCCCUCCCUGCUACUGCUUAACGAUCACCUGAUUAAAAUUAGUAUUGCCUCAAUUAUCUUGCCUGCUAGGUGGAACUCCUAUGGGGGAAGAGUAAGGAGAUGAAGUUGGAUAUCAGGCUGGCCUUUCCAUAGAGGCUGCAGAAGAGCCUCUUGAUGAUAAAGCCCACGAACAGGACACAUGGGUGCACAUUCAUGCAUCCACGAAAAGUCAAGGAGGACACAGAGCUACGCUGUGGUCACAAUGACCUCCACCAGGGUG
Molecule: long non-coding RNA, 883 nt
Organism: Mastomys coucha (southern multimammate mouse)
Lineage: Eukaryota; Metazoa; Chordata; Mammalia; Rodentia; Muridae
Exons: 3
Source: RefSeq, a predicted model, not a curated record